GAUGAACGCUAGCGGGAGGCUUAACACAUGCAAGUCGAGGGGUAAAUGGUAGCAAUACUAUGAGACCGGCGGACGGGUGCGUAACGCGUAUGCAACAUACCUUGUGCAGGGGGAUAGCCCGUGGAAACGCGGAUUAAUAUUCCAUAGUCCAGCUAUAUCGCAUGGUAUAGUUGGUAAAGAUUUAUCGGCACAAGUUUGGCAUGCGUCUGAUUAGCUUUGUUGGUAGGGUAACGGCCUACCAAGGCUACGAUCAGUAGGGGUUCUGAGAGGAUUAACCCCCACACUGGUACUGAGACACGGACCAGACUCCUACGGGAGGCAGCAGUGAGGAAUAUUGGUCAAUGGGCGGAAGCCUGAACCAGCCAUCCCGCGUGAAGGAAGACAGCCUUACGGGUUGUAAACUUCUUUUCUGUCAGAAGAAUAAGCUUGUCGAGACGAGUGAUGCCGGUAUGACAGGAAUAAGCAUCGGCUAACUCCGUGCCAGCAGCCGCGGUAAU
This 497-nucleotide ribosomal RNA is filed under the name uncultured bacterium. Its description in RNAcentral is "bacterial SSU rRNA". It matches the Rfam family "Bacterial small subunit ribosomal RNA", at positions 28 to 524 of the family's 1533-position model. The record is from RNAcentral.